GAAACGAACAGUCUGGUGGGUUUUCUGAAUGUCUUUGCUCUAUCUAUAUAGAACACAAGUGCUCUACGAACAUUCAACGUGUGAAGAGAUGCUUCCCUGCUGUCAGUGUGCGGCUUCGGGAAGAAUACAGGUAAGUCCUUGAUCAUGGCCUGGAUUUCCUUGGGGAAGCUGGAAAGGUGGAGCCAAGAGGCCCUCCGCAUGACUACUGAUGUGGUGAUGGAGCGAGUUGCUGUGUCUGCAGAAUCCAAUGAUGCCUGCAAGACCAUCCUGGCAAUCAGGGAACCUUCUGAGAUGCUCGCUUAGUAUUGUUCUUUUUUGUCUGUUUGGAGAUGCUCAAUGAAUAUAGACAUCUGUGCAAAAA
Long non-coding RNA from Mauremys reevesii (Reeves's turtle), 361 nucleotides. RefSeq lists it as uncharacterized. The transcript is spliced from 2 exons. The record is from RefSeq and is a predicted model, not a curated record. Lineage: Eukaryota; Metazoa; Chordata; Testudines; Geoemydidae.